RNAcentral lists this ribosomal RNA (495 nucleotides) under uncultured bacterium. Its description in RNAcentral is "partial 16S ribosomal RNA". It matches the Rfam family "Bacterial small subunit ribosomal RNA", at positions 28 to 507 of the family's 1533-position model. The record is from RNAcentral.
GACGAACGCUGGCGGCGUGCCUAAUACAUGCAAGUAGAACGCUGAAGGAGGAGCUUGCCCUUCUGGAUGAGUUGCGAACGGGUGAGUAACGCGUAGGUAACCUGCCUGGUAGCGGGGGAUAACUCUUGGAAACGAUAGCUAAUACCGCAUAAGAGUUGAUGAUGCAUGACAUUCACUUAAAAGGUGCAAUUGCAUCACUACCAGAAGGACCUGCGUUGUAUUAGCUAGUUGGUGGGGUAACGGCUUACCAAGGCGACGAUACAUAGCCGACCAGAGAGGGGGAUCGGCCACACUGGGACUGAGACACGGCCCAGACUCCUACGGGAGGCAGCAGUAGGGAAUCUUCGGCAAUGGACGGAAGUCUGACCGAGCAACGCCGCGUGAGUGAAGAAGGUUUUCGGAUCGUAAAGCUCUGUUGUAAGAGAAGAACGAGUGUGAGAGUGGAAAGUUCACACUGUGACGGUAUCUUACCAGAAAGGGACGGCUAACUACGUG